RNAcentral lists this ribosomal RNA (1206 nucleotides) under Triticum aestivum (bread wheat). RNAcentral describes it as "partial small subunit ribosomal RNA". The record is from RNAcentral. Lineage: Eukaryota; Viridiplantae; Streptophyta; Magnoliopsida; Poales; Poaceae.
AUGAUGGCGCUGAGCGAGAGGCAGCCGCAGUCGGAGAAGAAGGCCCCGCGGGCGAGGCCCAUGUCGGGGAAGGCCGUGUUCGUGCUCUGCGCCACCAGCUUCUUCGUGGGGCUGCUGCUCAGCGGCCGGAUGACGGUACUGACGCCGCCGGCGUCGGGCGGCCACGGCGGCUCCAGGAUCGCCCUAUUCUCCGACGACGACUGCGAGCACAGGCGUAAGCUGGAAGAAGAGAGCAACCCGAACGAUGUCAUGAACGAGGUGUCACGAACCCACCAAGCCAUUCGGUCUCUGGACAAGUCGGUGUCGUCGCUGGAGAUGGAGCUGGCGGUGGAGCGGGCCAAGAGGAACGGCGGCCUGGGCGCGGCGGUGCCGUCCAAGGGCCUCCCGAAGGUGUUCGUGGUGGUGGGCAUCAACACGGCCUUCAGCAGCAAGAAGCGGCGCGACUCGCUCCGCGACACCUGGGUGCCCCGGGGCGACAAGCUCCGGCAGCUGGAGAAGGAGAAGGGGGUGGUGGUGCGGUUCGUGAUCGGGCACAGCGCCACGCCCGGCGGCGCGCUGGACCGGGCCAUCGACGUGGAGGAGGCGGAGACCAGGGACUUCAUGCGGCUGGACCACGUGGAGGGCUACCACGAGCUCUCCUCCAAGACCAGGAUCUACUUCGCCGCCGCCGUCGCCACCUGGGACGCCGCCUUCUACGUCAAGGUCGACGACGACGUACACGUCAACCUAGGGAUGCUGACGAACAGGCUCGCCAGGUACAGGACGACGCCCAGGGUGUACGUGGGGUGCAUGAAGUCCGGCCCUGUGCUGUCGCAGAAGGGCGUCAAGUACCACGAGCCUGAGUCUUGGAAGUUCGGGGACGAGGGGAACAAGUACUUCCGCCACGCCACGGGGCAGAUCUACGCCAUCUCCAGGGACCUCGCCUCCUACAUCUCCAUCAACCAGCCGAUACUGCACCGGUUCGCGAACGAGGACGUGUCGCUGGGCGCGUGGCUCAUCGGGCUCGAGGUGGAGCACGUCGACGACCGGAGCCUCUGCUGCGCCACGCCCCCAGACUGCGAGUGGAAGAAGCAGGCCGGGAACGUGUGCGCGGCGUCCUUCGACUGGUCCUGCAGCGGCAUCUGCAAGUCCGUCGACAGGAUGAGGGCCAUCCACAGCGCCUGCGGCGAGGGCGACGGAGCCGUCUCCAACUUCGCCGCCGCCUGA